CUGCUUUUUGUGUCAUAAGCCAGAUUGGGCAAUGUUACCAGCCUGUAGAAGACCUUUCUGUAGACUUGUAGACCAAAGAGCUAUAAAAAUAAAAAAGUAUUUUAUAGUUCUUUGUGUAGACACAUGAACCUGUGGUGUCCAACACAGCUCAGUAUAGUUUGGACAUGACCUCUGAACCUGGACCUUGAGCACAGUCCAUUUCAAUAGCCUAUAGAUGGUAAAUGGGCAAAGUCUUGUGGUUAUCACGAAACUCGUGUUUCACAAGUUAUAGGUUAUAUCAACUUUGUUCCCAUUGAAUGCUAAAAGGCUCUAUAGUGCAAUAGUUAAGAAAUUAUGGAUGACUUCGAAUCACAACAGGAGUGGUUUGAUAUAUUUUUAUUAUUAUUUGUUUCACUUUAUUAGACUUAAAAAUUAUUAUGCAAGCUCAGGAGUUACUUAAUAAUGAUUGUCUUUGGUUUUCCUUUACUUAAGUUGGUUUAAAUGUAGUUUGUUGCAGCCCUACUCAUCGUCACAUCUGUUGUUUGUUUGUCUGUCUGUCUGUCUGUGUGUUCGUGCCCAUUCAGCACGAUAACAACAAAAUAAAGGCGGCUGUCAAUCUUUCCUGGAUAAACCAGUGCCCACAUUUGGUCAAACAAACUGAAGGCUAACCAGCUUCUUUAAUCAACAGUGGCAGACAAGUUACCGUGGAAAAAAAGUUUCGGAAUUAUAUUUCACAGAAUGUUGUGGCUGGGUUGUGGAUCGAACUAGUGACCCCCUUAUUGUAAGCUAGGUGCACAAGGACCAGACCAUGCAGCCUGGCACCUCAUUGUUGCUUUGCUUGUCUAUGUAAAAUUAGCCUUAUCGACAGUUCUGUUGAAGGGUGUUAAUAUGCCAGGAACAUGUAACCUAUGUAUCUGAUUGUGCUAAGUAGCUUUUCUCUAUAUAGUUCAGAUGAGAUUAUAUGACAAAUUUUAUCAAAUCAUAAAUGUACUAAAAUAUAGAGAAUGAACUUGCAACAUAUAUAUCCAAUAAAUAAGGCAAAAAAGUCAUUUCAUACAUAUAGCACGCAGUGUAAUUCAGAGAGAAAAAAGCAUGAAGAAAUGAAAGGCCAUGCCAGGAUCAAACUCUGAGCUUUAGGGUGACAGACCAUAUCCUAAACCCCUGACAUAUUCCCAUUGUUAAGUCAACAGUGAAAAAUGGAAGUGUGCAUAGUCCUUGCAAAUCAUUAUUUCAACCAUUUUCAGCUGAAAACCAUUCAUAUAUGAUAAUCUACAGGGCCGAAUUCUUAAGUUAACUGAUCAUGACCUGGUGAAUGUAAAAUGUACUGUAUGGUAGUCUAAUGUUGUGUUUCUAUGGAUAUCCUAUGAAUUUAGAGAAAUAAUCGUUCCAAAAAAAUGUCAGAAAGUACCUUAUCUCACAGAUGUUUAUCACAUUGGUUACUAUCUCUCUCUGAGAUUGUCACAGCACUGACAUAGGAUAAUUUCAAGAUCAGGGUAGACAAGUAUAUGGCGAUAAAGUAUUCACAGUACUUCCAGAAAGGACAUGGGUUUGUGAAAAUAUGCUGUGGCUUUCAGAUGCAGCGACCAUCUUCAGCCCUGGAAGGAUAGUGUAAAUGAAAUGUAAAUAUUUUUUUUUAAUAUAUUUGCAUCAGUAUGUCUGACAAACUUAAAGAAUUUGUUUUGAAGAGAGGAAUUGGGCCGGCUGUACUACAAAGUCUUGUCGCUGAUAAGAUUGACAGCAGUGUCAUGCUGUUAAUGGAUGACAGUACAUGAAAUCAUUCUUACCUGCGUAUGGUGAUAGAGUGUCGGCAAUUGCUUCCUGCAGGUCUCAAACUGAAGGUGAUCAGUGCUCAAAUGCAUUGAAUGAAUUACGUGGGAAAUGGAAAAAAGAGCGAUCUACUCUCCACAGCUGUGGUUUCAAGGCUGGAAAUGCUUAUGCGGAAAGGACCAUAAGAAGAUUGGAGCUAGGAUGGAUGGAUUACAGCAACCAAUCCAUGUGUUAUAAGCAAGUGAGGCAACGAUGUGGAGGUGGUGUCCGCCAUCUCACGGUUGAGAAAACACUUUCUUUAAAGGCAGUCCUUAACCAUGCUUUAGAUGCAUUCUUUCCAUCCCGCAUUUCCCAAUGAGGUAUUCUACAAGAGUUCGAAACAGAACUGAAAGACUUCCAAGGCAUGUGUGUCAAUAUGGAAAAUACAAUCAACGAACUCUAUAUUGAGUCAAAAUUAAAGAUACUUCGGGUAUAUUUAUAUACCAAAAAGAAGACUGAAAAGGUAGGAGAAGAGGUGCACGCUGCAACCAACAAGCCAUCCAGUACAAUCGAAGAGGUCGCACCAGAGGUUCAGAUCGUGACCACGGUGCCGAUUGCUGUUCUUGACGCAACUCUUCUCUCAUCCAGUGAGUGCAUGUCUUCGUCAGAUGAGCUUGACCAGCACACUGUAGUGUCAUUGCCAGACACCUCCCUCGUCUGGUAUACAGUGCGAGUCACACAGAUCAGAGACACUCCAAGCGUUUCGACAGAUUCUUGCUUUGGAUUGAUGUUUAUCUUCCUUUUCCAUGCUUGUGUAGCAUUAAAACUAAACAGUAACUUUCUGUGUCAUCUUAGCCUUCUAGGCCACCACCAAUGCAAUGUUUGAUAACUCUUCCUGGAUUAGCACAGUAUGUUCACCCAUUAACAAUGCUGUGUAACUGAGACGUUGAUGGAUUAUUCAUGAGGACAAGAGUAAUUUUAGAGAGGAAUUUCUACGUAUAAUUUCUACGAAGACAUAAAGGUCGAAACUAGUAAAGAAUGUGUUGUCUUGUAUUUAAAUGUCUUUCAGGAGAACUGCUCAGAUGACAUUGAAUUAGGAACACCUACUGUGGUGACAAAUAGGCAGACAUACAUGGAGGCUUGUGGUGCAGCUGAUACGGCAGACAUAGAGUUUAUAGACAUAUCAGCUCCUCGUCAGAGAAGACAGUUUAGUUUGCGUAGAGUGUCUCCUUCAGCCACAGUAAUAUACAGUGAAACAGCUGAUAUGUCGGGUAGUAUUAACAACCACUCUAUAGAACCUGAUGCUGACAUGGUAGAAGAUCAGUCUUCCAACCAGACAAAUGAUGCUAUGUCAGCGGAAGAGUAUUUCGGACAAGCUGGCCAUUGAAGAAAGUUUGUUAAGUAUUUGUAAUAGGUAAGAAACAAUUUGAUGCAAACUAAAUGAAGUUAAAAGUAAUUAG
This is an RNA transcript of Mercenaria mercenaria, 3185 nucleotides long. RefSeq lists it as uncharacterized. The record is from RefSeq and is a predicted model, not a curated record. Lineage: Eukaryota; Metazoa; Mollusca; Bivalvia; Venerida; Veneridae. The transcript is spliced from 8 exons.